This 611-nucleotide ribosomal RNA is filed under the name Streptomyces sp. Its description in RNAcentral is "bacterial SSU rRNA". It matches the Rfam family "Bacterial small subunit ribosomal RNA", at positions 69 to 696 of the family's 1533-position model. The record is from RNAcentral. Lineage: Bacteria; Bacillati; Actinomycetota; Actinomycetes; Kitasatosporales; Streptomycetaceae.
AUGAACCACUUCGGUGGGGAUUAGUGGCGAACGGGUGAGUAACACGUGGGCAAUCUGCCCUGCACUCUGGGACAAGCCCUGGAAACGGGGUCUAAUACCGGAUACUGACCCUCGCAGGCAUCUGCGAGGUUCGAAAGCUCCGGCGGUGCAGGAUGAGCCCGCGGCCUAUCAGCUUGUUGGUGAGGUAAUGGCUCACCAAGGCGACGACGGGUAGCCGGCCUGAGAGGGCGACCGGCCACACUGGGACUGAGACACGGCCCAGACUCCUACGGGAGGCAGCAGUGGGGAAUAUUGCACAAUGGGCGAAAGCCUGAUGCAGCGACGCCGCGUGAGGGAUGACGGCCUUCGGGUUGUAAACCUCUUUCAGCAGGGAAGAAGCGAAAGUGACGGUACCUGCAGAAGAAGCGCCGGCUAACUACGUGCCAGCAGCCGCGGUAAUACGUAGGGCGCAAGCGUUGUCCGGAAUUAUUGGGCGUAAAGAGCUCGUAGGCGGCUUGUCACGUCGGUUGUGAAAGCCCGGGGCUUAACCCCGGGUCUGCAGUCGAUACGGGCAGGCUAGAGUUCGGUAGGGGAGAUCGGAAUUCCUGGUGUAGCGGUGAAAUGCGCAGAUA